RNAcentral lists this ribosomal RNA (253 nucleotides) under uncultured bacterium. RNAcentral's name for it is "partial 16S ribosomal RNA". It matches the Rfam family "Bacterial small subunit ribosomal RNA", at positions 524 to 776 of the family's 1533-position model. The record is from RNAcentral.
UACAGAGGAUGCAAGCGUUAUCCGGAAUGAUUGGGCGUAAAGCGUCUGUAGGUGGCUUUUUAAGUCCGCCGUCAAAUCCCAGGGCUCAACUCUGGACAGGCGGUGGAAACUACCAAGCUGGAGUACGGUAGGGGCAGAGGGAAUUCCAGGUGUAGCGGUGAAAUGCGUAGAUAUCUGGAGGAACACCGGUGGCGAAGGCGGCAUCCUGGACCAACACUGACGCUGAGGAGCGAAAGCCAGGGGAGCAAACGGG